Molecule: ribosomal RNA, 635 nt
Filed under: uncultured Verrucomicrobiota bacterium
Lineage: Bacteria; Pseudomonadati; Verrucomicrobiota
Description: bacterial SSU rRNA
Rfam family: Bacterial small subunit ribosomal RNA
Source: RNAcentral
UAGAGGGUAGCAAUAUUCUCUAGUUGGAGUGGCGCAAGGGUGCGUAACACGUGGGCAAUCUGCCGUGAAGACUGGGAUAACUCGCUGAAAGGCGAGCUAAUACCGGAUGAGACUUUUGGGAGGCAUCUCCUGGAAUUGGAAGCUGGGGACCCGCAAGGGCCUGGCGCUUCACGAUGAGCCCGCGGCCUAUCAGCUAGUUGGUGAGGUAAUGGCCCACCAAGGCUAAGACGGGUAGCUGGUCUGAGAGGACGACCAGCCACACUGGAACUGAGACACGGUCCAGACACCUACGGGUGGCAGCAGUCGAGAAUUUUUCACAAUGGGCGCAAGCCUGAUGGAGCGACGCCGCGUGGGGGAUGAAGGGUUUCGAUCCGUAAACCCCUGUCAUUUGCGAACAAACCUUAUGGAAUAACACUCCAUGAGCUGAUUGUAGUGAAAGAGGAAGGGACGGCUAACUCUGUGCCAGCAGCCGCGGUAAUACAGAGGUCCCAAGCGUUGUUCGGAUUCACUGGGCGUAAAGGGUGCGUAGGUGGCCGUGGAAGUUUGAUGUGAAAGCUCGGAGCUCAACUCCGAAAUGGCAUUGAAUACUCUACGGCUGGAGGGUCGGAGGGGAGACUGGAAUUCACGGUGUAGCA